UAACUUUCAACAACGGAUCUCUUGGCUCUCGCAUCGAUGAAGAACGCAGC
Molecule: ribosomal RNA, 50 nt
Filed under: Lactifluus caatingae
Lineage: Eukaryota; Fungi; Basidiomycota; Agaricomycetes; Russulales; Russulaceae
Description: partial 5.8S ribosomal RNA
Rfam family: 5.8S ribosomal RNA
About the family: 5.8S ribosomal RNA (5.8S rRNA) is a component of the large subunit of the eukaryotic ribosome. It is transcribed by RNA polymerase I as part of the 45S precursor that also contains 18S and 28S rRNA. Functionally, it is thought that 5.8S rRNA may be involved in ribosome translocation.
Source: RNAcentral